AAGCGUCGUAGUUGAAUUUCGGGAUUGACGUGAUGGUCGUGCCUUAAGGGUAUGAACUGUCGCAGUUGAUUUCUCACCUUCUGGAGAAGCACGAUGUCCUUAAUUGGGUGUCAUGUGGAACCAGGACCUUUACCUUGAAAAAAUUAGAGUGUUUAAAGCAGGCAUUUUGCCCGAAUACAUUAGCAUGGAAUAAUAGAAUAGGACGGCAUGGUUCUAUUUUGUUGGUUUCUAGGAUCACCGUAAUGAUUAAUAGGGAUAGUUGGG
This 264-nucleotide ribosomal RNA is filed under the name uncultured Glomus. RNAcentral describes it as "partial 18S ribosomal RNA". It matches the Rfam family "Eukaryotic small subunit ribosomal RNA", at positions 628 to 886 of the family's 1831-position model. Lineage: Eukaryota; Fungi; Glomeromycota; Glomeromycetes; Glomerales; Glomeraceae. The record is from RNAcentral.